Molecule: transfer RNA, 76 nt
Filed under: Candidatus Latescibacterota bacterium
Lineage: Bacteria; Pseudomonadati; Candidatus Latescibacterota
Description: tRNA-Ala
Rfam family: tRNA
About the family: Transfer RNA (tRNA) molecules are approximately 80 nucleotides in length. Their secondary structure includes four short double-helical elements and three loops (D, anti-codon, and T loops).
Source: RNAcentral
GGGGCUGUAGCUCAGGUGGGAGAGCGCCACACUGGCAGUGUGGAGGUCAGCGGUUCGAAUCCGCUCAGCUCCACCA